CCAACAAGAUCCUGGUGCUGAGU
Molecule: microRNA, 23 nt
Filed under: Eptesicus fuscus (big brown bat)
Lineage: Eukaryota; Metazoa; Chordata; Mammalia; Chiroptera; Vespertilionidae
Description: efu-miR-338
Gene: efu-miR-338
Source: miRBase by way of RNAcentral